Molecule: ribosomal RNA, 445 nt
Filed under: uncultured bacterium
Lineage: Bacteria
Description: partial 16S ribosomal RNA
Rfam family: Bacterial small subunit ribosomal RNA
Source: RNAcentral
GUAGGGAAUAUUGGUCAAUGGACGAAAGUCUGAACCAGCCAUUCCGCGUGCAGGAAGAAGAUUCUAUGGAUUGUAAACUGCUUUUAGCAGAGAAGAAACGCCUUCAUUGAUGAGGGUUUGACGGUAUCUGCGGAAUAAGCACCGGCUAACUCCGUGCCAGCAGCCGCGGUAAUACGGGGGGUGCAAGCGUUAUCAGGAAUCACUGGGUUUAAAGGGUGCGUAGGCGGGAAAUUAAGUCAGUGGUGAAAGUCUGUUGCUUAACGAUAGAAUUGCCGUGGAUACUGAUUUUCUUGAAUUGGGUUGAGGUUAGAGGAAUGUGACAUGUAGCGGUGAAAUGGAUAGAUAUGUCAUGGAACACCAAUUGCGAAGGCAGCUAGCUGGGCCUUGAUUGACGCUGAGGCACGAAAGCGUGGGUAGCGAACAGGAUUAGAUACCCUAGUAGUCC